GAUCAUGGCUCAGGACGAACGCUGGCGGCGUGCCUAACACAUGCAAGUCGAGCGGAGACAGUGAGUAGCUUGCUAUGAACUGUUUUAGCGGCGGACGGGUGAGUAACGCGUGAGCAACCUUUCCCAGACAGGGGAAUAACACACCGAAAGGUGUACUAAUACCGCAUAAGACCACGGUUUCACAUGGAACUGAGGUAAAAGAUUUAUCGGUUUGGGGUGGGCUCGCGUCCGAUUAGGUAGUUGGUGAGGUAACCGG
RNAcentral lists this ribosomal RNA (256 nucleotides) under uncultured bacterium. RNAcentral describes it as "partial 16S ribosomal RNA". It matches the Rfam family "Bacterial small subunit ribosomal RNA", at positions 15 to 263 of the family's 1533-position model. The record is from RNAcentral.